This is a non-coding RNA of Vicugna pacos (alpaca), 585 nucleotides long. The record is from RefSeq and is a predicted model, not a curated record. NCBI's taxonomy places the organism in Eukaryota, Metazoa, Chordata, Mammalia, Artiodactyla, Camelidae.
CAGAAGGCAAGAGAGGGAGCGGCCGUCAGGAAGGCAAAUUCCAAACGGAGAGGAACAAGCUUAGAAGCCAGGUUUUGGAAUGUGUGAAAUAAGGCUGUCUCUGCGCUGCAGAAUUCAGGACGAUGUUAAACAGAAGCGGCAAAGGGCGGGCAUCUUCCUCCUGUUCCUGAUCUCAGAGGAAAAGCGUUCUCUCUUUCACCCCCGAGUAGCCGGGAGCUGCGGGAUUUCGCCUCCAUCAGGUGAACACGUUUCCUUCUGUUCCUAGUUUACUGAGAAUUUUUAUUAUGAACUGUGCUGGAUUUUUUUCAAAAGACUUUUCUGUGUCUACUGUCCUUUUUCUAAUAAUACAGUUUAUUGAAUUCAUUGAGACUUCAUGAUGAUUUUAUGUUCCUGUGUUUGCAAAUCAUACGUAGUGAUUUGCAGAAACCCCUCCGUAUAGUAAAUUUUGAUAAAGAAUUGGAGGAGGAAGUUAAGGAGGCCGAACUUCCGUUUCAAGGUACUUUUUUGAGAGGAGAAGGCAGAGGCACAGAAGACUGAUGGCGGCCGCUCUAAUGAUGAAGGGGAAGCAAUUAGCAUCCAGACAGA